AAGUCGUAACAAGGUUUCCGUAGGUGAACCUGCGGAAGGAUCAUUAAUGAAAUGAUGUUUUUUGGGGUUUUCCCUGAAAAAUAAUUCACCCUUUGUGCAUUGUUAUUAGAUAUACUUUGGUUAGAGCUUUGAUUUUAUUUAUUGGAAUCAACUUCUUGCUGACUCUAUCCUUUCUGAGGACAGUUGGCUAUGAAGCGGCCUACCAAGGUUUUUUUAUCAAACUCUUGUAUUUUAUCUGACCUAAACUAUUAUAAUUAAAUCAUAACUUUCAACAACGGAUCUCUUGGCUCUC
Molecule: unclassified non-coding RNA, 292 nt
Filed under: fungal sp.
Lineage: Eukaryota; Fungi
Description: partial internal transcribed spacer region
Rfam family: Eukaryotic small subunit ribosomal RNA (bases 1-46)
Source: RNAcentral